Molecule: ribosomal RNA, 1250 nt
Filed under: Pediococcus sp.
Lineage: Bacteria; Bacillati; Bacillota; Bacilli; Lactobacillales; Lactobacillaceae
Description: bacterial SSU rRNA
Rfam family: Bacterial small subunit ribosomal RNA
Source: RNAcentral
GUAACCUGCCCAGAAGUAGGGGAUAACACCUGGAAACAGAUGCUAAUACCGUAUAACAGAGAAAACCGCAUGGUUUUCUUUUAAAAGAUGGCUCUGCUAUCACUUCUGGAUGGACCCGCGGCGUAUUAGCUAGUUGGUGAGGUAAAGGCUCACCAAGGCAGUGAUACGUAGCCGACCUGAGAGGGUAAUCGGCCACAUUGGGACUGAGACACGGCCCAGACUCCUACGGGAGGCAGCAGUAGGGAAUCUUCCACAAUGGACGCAAGUCUGAUGGAGCAACGCCGCGUGAGUGAAGAAGGGUUUCGGCUCGUAAAGCUCUGUUGUUAAAGAAGAACGUGGGUAAGAGUAACUGUUUACCCAGUGACGGUAUUUAACCAGAAAGCCACGGCUAACUACGUGCCAGCAGCCGCGGUAAUACGUAGGUGGCAAGCGUUAUCCGGAUUUAUUGGGCGUAAAGCGAGCGCAGGCGGUCUUUUAAGUCUAAUGUGAAAGCCUUCGGCUCAACCGAAGAAGUGCAUUGGAAACUGGGAGACUUGAGUGCAGAAGAGGACAGUGGAACUCCAUGUGUAGCGGUGAAAUGCGUAGAUAUAUGGAAGAACACCAGUGGCGAAGGCGGCUGUCUGGUCUGCAACUGACGCUGAGGCUCGAAAGCAUGGGUAGCGAACAGGAUUAGAUACCCUGGUAGUCCAUGCCGUAAACGAUGAUUACUAAGUGUUGGAGGGUUUCCGCCCUUCAGUGCUGCAGCUAACGCAUUAAGUAAUCCGCCUGGGGAGUACGACCGCAAGGUUGAAACUCAAAAGAAUUGACGGGGGCCCGCACAAGCGGUGGAGCAUGUGGUUUAAUUCGAAGCUACGCGAAGAACCUUACCAGGUCUUGACAUCUUCUGACAGUCUAAGAGAUUAGAGGUUCCCUUCGGGGACAGAAUGACAGGUGGUGCAUGGUUGUCGUCAGCUCGUGUCGUGAGAUGUUGGGUUAAGUCCCGCAACGAGCGCAACCCUUAUUACUAGUUGCCAGCAUUAAGUUGGGCACUCUAGUGAGACUGCCGGUGACAAACCGGAGGAAGGUGGGGACGACGUCAAAUCAUCAUGCCCCUUAUGACCUGGGCUACACACGUGCUACAAUGGAUGGUACAACGAGUCGCGAGACCGCGAGGUUAAGCUAAUCUCUUAAAACCAUUCUCAGUUCGGACUGUAGGCUGCAACUCGCCUACACGAAGUCGGAAUCGCUAGUAAUCGCGGAUCAGCAUGCCG